This 612-nucleotide ribosomal RNA is filed under the name Cladosporium cladosporioides. RNAcentral describes it as "eukaryotic LSU rRNA". It matches the Rfam family "Eukaryotic large subunit ribosomal RNA", at positions 22 to 655 of the family's 3401-position model. The record is from RNAcentral. Lineage: Eukaryota; Fungi; Ascomycota; Dothideomycetes; Cladosporiales; Cladosporiaceae.
UACCCGCUGAACUUAAGCAUAUCAAUAAGCGGAGGAAAAGAAACCAACAGGGAUUGCUCUAGUAACGGCGAGUGAAGCAGCAAUAGCUCAAAUUUGAAAUCUGGCGUCUUCGACGUCCGAGUUGUAAUUUGUAGAGGAUGCUUCUGAGUAACCACCGACCUAAGUUCCUUGGAACAGGACGUCAUAGAGGGUGAGAAUCCCGUAUGCGGUCGGAAAGGUGCUCUAUACGUAGCUCCUUCGACGAGUCGAGUUGUUUGGGAAUGCAGCUCUAAAUGGGAGGUAAAUUUCUUCUAAAGCUAAAUAUUGGCCAGAGACCGAUAGCGCACAAGUAGAGUGAUCGAAAGAUGAAAAGCACUUUGGAAAGAGAGUUAAAAAGCACGUGAAAUUGUUAAAAGGGAAGGGAUUGCAACCAGACUUGCUCGCGGUGUUCCGCCGGUCUUCUGACCGGUCUACUCGCCGCGUUGCAGGCCAGCAUCGUCUGGUGCCGCUGGAUAAGACUUGAGGAAUGUAGCUCCCUCGGGAGUGUUAUAGCCUCUUGUGAUGCAGCGAGCGCCGGGCGAGGUCCGCGCUUCGGCUAGGAUGCUGGCGUAAUGGUCGUAAUCCGCCCGUCUU